GCCAAGAUAGCUCAGCUGGCAGAGCAGCGCACUCGUAAUGCGCAGGUCCUGGGUUCGAUUCCCAGUCUUGGCU
Molecule: transfer RNA, 73 nt
Filed under: Spirochaetia bacterium
Lineage: Bacteria; Pseudomonadati; Spirochaetota; Spirochaetia
Also listed under: 1 other name
Description: tRNA-Thr
Rfam family: tRNA
About the family: Transfer RNA (tRNA) molecules are approximately 80 nucleotides in length. Their secondary structure includes four short double-helical elements and three loops (D, anti-codon, and T loops). Further hydrogen bonds mediate the characteristic L-shaped molecular structure. tRNAs have two regions of fundamental functional importance: the anti-codon, which is responsible for specific mRNA codon recognition, and the 3' end, to which the tRNAs corresponding amino acid is attached (by aminoacyl-tRNA synthetases). tRNAs cope with the degeneracy of the genetic code in two manners: having more than one tRNA (with a specific anti-codon) for a particular amino acid; and 'wobble' base-pairing, i.e. permitting non-standard base-pairing at the 3rd anti-codon position.
Source: RNAcentral